GCUAACAAACCCUACUUUUCAUGUCCAAUGUUUGACCGUCCGUCUUAUUUGAAAAAAUUAUGAAAAAAAUUAAAAAGAUAAGUCACGCAUAAAGUAUUAAUCAUGUUUUAUUAUCUAACAACAAUGAAAAUAAAUACUAAUUAUAAAAAAAUUUUAUAUAAGACGGACAAUCAAACGUUGGCAUGGAAAACUAGGGUUUGCCUUUUU
Molecule: microRNA precursor, 207 nt
Organism: Oryza rufipogon (brownbeard rice)
Lineage: Eukaryota; Viridiplantae; Streptophyta; Magnoliopsida; Poales; Poaceae
Rfam family: MIR812 microRNA precursor family
Source: Rfam